CCCCGCACAAGCAGCGGAGCGUGUGGUUUAAUUCGAUGCAACGCGAAGAACCUUACCAAGGCUUGACAUGCCAGAAGUAGGAACUCGAAAGAGAGACCACCUGUAUCCAGUCAGGAACUGGCACAGGUGCUGCAUGGCUGUCGUCAGCUCGUGCCGUGAGGUGUUAGGUUAAGUCCUGCAACGAGCGCAACCCUCGUCGCUAGUUAAAUUUUUCUAGCGAUACUGCCCGUAAAACGAGGAGGAAGGUGGGGAUGACGUCAAGUCAGCAUGGCCCUUACGCCUUGGGCUACACACACGCUACAAUGGGUGAUACAACGGGUUGCGAGAGAGCGAUCUGGAGCUAAUCCCUAAAAUCAUCCUCAGUUCGGAUUGCAGGCUGAAACUGCCUGCAUGAAGUUGGAGUUGCUAGUAACCGCAGGUCAGCACACUGCGGUGAAUACGUUCUCGGGCCUU
This 453-nucleotide ribosomal RNA is filed under the name uncultured Chloroflexota bacterium. RNAcentral's name for it is "bacterial SSU rRNA". It matches the Rfam family "Bacterial small subunit ribosomal RNA", at positions 920 to 1378 of the family's 1533-position model. The record is from RNAcentral. Lineage: Bacteria; Bacillati; Chloroflexota.